This 60-nucleotide transfer RNA is filed under the name Eulimnogammarus verrucosus. Its description in RNAcentral is "tRNA-Ser". The record is from RNAcentral. Lineage: Eukaryota; Metazoa; Arthropoda; Malacostraca; Amphipoda; Eulimnogammaridae.
AAUCAUUAAGUUAAAAACAUUUGUUUUGAAAGCAUUAUAAGAGCUAAAGCUCAAUGAUUU